Molecule: long non-coding RNA, 404 nt
Organism: Leopardus geoffroyi (Geoffroy's cat)
Lineage: Eukaryota; Metazoa; Chordata; Mammalia; Carnivora; Felidae
Exons: 3
Source: RefSeq, a predicted model, not a curated record
AGGAAUUGUGUUGGAAGCUGUGAAUAUAGACCUGUAAGGUUGCAUUUCAUAUGGAUGUGGGUAUGAUGUGCUGCAGCAAGAUGACGUCUUGAUUAGCAAUGAUGCUAUGCUAGAAAUUGAAGAAGGAGAAUUUGGAAGAUAGACUGUCAUGAAGGGCCAAAGUGUCUGUAAGUAAGAGAAGUUUCAAGACAGGAGAACAAAGUAAGGCCAAAGACUUACUCACUUUAUAUUUUUGUUUAGAAUUUGUCUUAUGUGAUUGAUUCUUACAAAGGUAAUAUAUUUGAAUCAUUAUUUUAAAUAUGUGAUUGCCUGAGUUUAUGACACAUUAUUAUCUUAAAGGAUUUGUUUAAUUCACUAAUUUUUUUUUAUCUCACUGCCUCAUUCUUGGGUGAAUGGGGGUCUUG